AUACGGAGGAUGCAAGCGUUAUCCGGAUUUAUUGGGUUUAAAGGGUGCGUAGGCGGAUGAUUAAGCGUGAGGUGAAAUGCCACUGCUCAACUGUGGAACUGCCUCGCGAACUGGUUGUCUUGAAUGCUCCUGCCGUGGGAGGAAUGUGUGGUGUAGCGGUGAAAUGCAUAGAGAUCACACAGAACACCGAUUGCGAAGGCAUCUCACGAAGGGGUGAUUGACGCUGAGGCACGAAAGCGUGGGGAUCAAACAGGAUUAGAUACCCUGGUAGUCCACGCAGUAAACGAUGAUAACUAACCGCUGGGUCGUAGUGAUUCAGUGGCCAAGCGAAAGCGAUAAGUUAUCCACCUGGGGAGUACGACCGCAAGGUUGAAACUCAAAUGAAUUGGCGGGG
RNAcentral lists this ribosomal RNA (394 nucleotides) under uncultured bacterium. Its description in RNAcentral is "partial 16S ribosomal RNA". It matches the Rfam family "Bacterial small subunit ribosomal RNA", at positions 523 to 918 of the family's 1533-position model. The record is from RNAcentral.